GGCGGACGGGUGAGUAACACGUGGGUAACCUGCCUGUAAGACUGGGAUAACUCCGGGAAACCGGGGCUAAUACCGGAUGGUUGUUUGAACCGCAUGGUUCAAACAUAAAAGGUGGCUUCGGCUACCACUUACAGAUGGACCCGCGGCGCAUUAGCUAGUUGGUGAGGUAACGGCUCACCAAGGCAACGAUGCGUAGCCGACCUGAGAGGGUGAUCGGCCACACUGGGACUGAGACACGGCCCAGACUCCUACGGGAGGCAGCAGUAGGGAAUCUUCCGCAAUGGACGAAAGUCUGACGGAGCAACGCCGCGUGAGUGAUGAAGGUUUUCGGAUCGUAAAGCUCUGUUGUUAGGGAAGAACAAGUACCGUUCGAAUAGGGCGGUACCUUGACGGUACCUAACCAGAAAGCCACGGCUAACUACGUGCCAGCAGCCGCGGUAAUACGUAGGUGGCAAGCGUUGUCCGGAAUUAUUGGGCGUAAAGGGCUCGCAGGCGGUUUCUUAAGUCUGA
Molecule: ribosomal RNA, 510 nt
Filed under: Bacillus sp. SCAUE9024
Lineage: Bacteria; Bacillati; Bacillota; Bacilli; Caryophanales; Bacillaceae
Description: bacterial SSU rRNA
Rfam family: Bacterial small subunit ribosomal RNA
Source: RNAcentral